This 497-nucleotide ribosomal RNA is filed under the name uncultured bacterium. Its description in RNAcentral is "partial 16S ribosomal RNA". It matches the Rfam family "Bacterial small subunit ribosomal RNA", at positions 28 to 507 of the family's 1533-position model. The record is from RNAcentral.
GAUGAACGCUGGCGGCGUGCCUAAUACAUGCAAGUCGAGCGAACAGACGAGGAGCUUGCUCCUCUGACGUUAGCGGCGGACGGGUGAGUAACACGUGGAUAACCUACCUAUAAGACUGGGAUAACUUCGGGAAACCGGAGCUAAUACCGGAUAAUAUAUUGAACCGCAUGGUUCAAUAGUGAAAGACGGUUUUGCUGUCACUUAUAGAUGGAUCCGCGCCGCAUUAGCUAGUUGGCAAGGUAACGGCUUAUCAAGGCAACGAUGCGUAGCCGACCUGAGAGGAUGAUCGGCCACACUGGAACUGAGACACGGUCCAGACUCCUACGGGAGGCAGCAGUAGGGAAUCUUCCGCAAUGGGCGAAAGCCUGACGGAGCAACGCCGCGUGAGUGAUGAAGGUCUUCGGAUCGUAAAACUCUGUUAUUAGGGAAGAACAAAUGUGUAAGUAACUAUGCACGUCUUGACGGUACCUAAUCAGAAAGCCACGGCUAACUACGUG